Molecule: unclassified non-coding RNA, 24 nt
Filed under: Mus musculus (house mouse)
Lineage: Eukaryota; Metazoa; Chordata; Mammalia; Rodentia; Muridae
Description: oocyte_clustered_small_RNA12283
Source: RNAcentral
UCCUCUCCAUGCACUGGGCAAGGU